AUGGAGGUGGAAGCGGCGAGGAGGGAUGCGUCGGCGCUUGACCCGGAGCUGCUGCAGCUGCCAGAGCUCGCGCCGGGCGCGCUCCGGGAGAACUCAAGCAUAGCCGAGGCACUCUACUUGCAGUGGCUCGUGCUGCCUGAGUCGUCCAAGCUGGUGAAAUCUUUGAUUGAAGAUGCAAAAGCCGGUGCCACACUGAAUGUUGCUGGGAGCUCUGCUAGCACAAAUGCCACUUCAAGUAGUUCUUUGCCGUCAAUGUUCCCUGCUGGUAGUGCCCCCCCACUUUCUCCCAGGAGCACUGCUGGCUCUCCCCGUGUUAUGAGACGAGGAUCUAGUGCUGGACCAUCAUCCUUGGGAUCUCCUCUAAAAUUAGUCAGUGAACCUGUGAGAGAAGUUAUACCCCAGUUUUACUUCAAACAUGGGCGCCCUCCACCAAAAGAUUUGAGGGAGCAGUGUUUGUCUAGACUAGAUCACCUUUUUUUUGCCGGGGAAGGACUCCAGAUUCAAGAAUUCAGACCAGUAAUAAAAGACAUAUGCAAGUUGCCAUCGUACCUCUCUGGUGUUCUUUUCAAGAAGAUUGACGCCACUUGCUCUGGAACUGUAACAAGAGAUGCGUUUAUCGAUUACUGGUUUAAUGACAAUAAGAUCACAAUGGACACAGCUACCCAGAUAUUUGAAAUACUAAGAAAGCCAGGUUACAGUUAUCUCACUCAGGAGGAUUUUAAGCCUGUUCUAAAAGAACUCCUGGCAACUCACCCAGGUUUAGAGUUUUUACAAGGCACUCCCGAGUUUCAGGACAGAUAUGCUGAGACUGUGAUAUACAGAAUCUUCUACUCCAUAAAUAGAUCUGGAAAUGGUCAUCUUACCCUUAGAGAGCUAAAACGUGGGAAUUUAGUAGCUGCAAUGCAGCAAUUGGAUGAGGAAGAGGAUAUCAACAAAAUACUGAGAUAUUUCUCAUAUGAGCAUUUUUAUGUAAUCUACUGCAAAUUUUGGGAGCUGGACACAGAUCAUGAUUUCUUGAUUGACAAAGAGAACCUUAUCAGAUAUGGAAAUCAUUCGUUGACCUAUAGAAUAGUCGAUAGAGUCUUUUCACAGGUCCCAAGAAAAUUCACAAGCAUGACCGAAGGAAAGAUGGGUUAUGAGGAUUUUGUUUACUUCAUCUUGUCAGAGGAAGAUAAAUCAUCUGAGCCCAGCCUUGAGUACUGGUUUAAGUGCAUUGAUCUUGAUGGCAAUGGUAUUUUAACUACCAAUGAAAUGCAGUUUUUCUAUGAGGAGCAGUUGCAUCGUAUGGAGUGCAUGGCACAGGAACCUGUGCUUUUUGAGGACAUACUAUGCCAAAUGAUUGAUAUGAUUGGACCAGAGAAUGAGACAUAUUUUACAUUGAGGGACUUGAAAAAGUGUAAACUCUCGGGAAAUAUAUUCAAUAUCUUAUUUAAUCUCAACAAAUUUAUGGCAUUUGAAACUCGUGAUCCAUUCCUCAUUCGCCAGGAGCGUGAAAAUCCAAGUCUAACUGAGUGGGAUCGGUUCGCCCAUAGGGAAUAUAUCAGGCUGUCGAUGGAAGAGGAUGGUGAAGAUGCUUCAAAUGGAAGUGGUGAUGUGUGGGACGAGUCACUUGAAGCUCCAUUUUGA
This 1626-nucleotide ribosomal RNA is filed under the name Triticum aestivum (bread wheat). RNAcentral describes it as "partial small subunit ribosomal RNA". Lineage: Eukaryota; Viridiplantae; Streptophyta; Magnoliopsida; Poales; Poaceae. The record is from RNAcentral.